GUCCGAUGUCAGUCGGAAGCUGUGCCACUCAUUGUCCACCGGGCUUGCCCCGGUUUUCGAAGGGAUCGCGCCUUGUGCCCGAUCCUUUUUUUG
Molecule: small RNA, 93 nt
Filed under: Xanthomonas oryzae pv. oryzae
Lineage: Bacteria; Pseudomonadati; Pseudomonadota; Gammaproteobacteria; Lysobacterales; Lysobacteraceae
Description: partial sRNA-Xoo3 non-coding RNA
Rfam family: Xanthomonas sRNA sX14/Xoo3
Source: RNAcentral